RNAcentral lists this ribosomal RNA (556 nucleotides) under uncultured bacterium. RNAcentral's name for it is "bacterial SSU rRNA". It matches the Rfam family "Bacterial small subunit ribosomal RNA", at positions 777 to 1322 of the family's 1533-position model. The record is from RNAcentral.
AAUAGAUACCCCGGUAGUCCACGCCGUAAACGAUGAGUGCUAAGUGUUAGGGGGUUUCCGCCCCUUAGUGCUGCAGCUAACGCAUUAAGCACUCCGCCUGGGGAGUACGGUCGCAAGACUGAAACUCAAAGGAAUUGACGGGGGCCCGCACAAGCGGUGGAGCAUGUGGUUUAAUUCGAAGCAACGCGAAGAACCUUACCAGGUCUUGACAUCCCAUUGACCGCUAUGGAGACAUAGCUUUCCCUUCGGGGACAGUGGUGACAGGUGGUGCAUGGUUGUCGUCAGCUCGUGUCGUGAGAUGUUGGGUUAAGUCCCGCAACGAGCGCAACCCUUGUUCUUAGUUGCCAUCAUUUAGUUGGGCACUCUAAGGAGACUGCCGGUGACAAACCGGAGGAAGGUGGGGAGUGACGUCAAAUACAUCAUGCCCCUUACUGACCUCGGCGUACACACGUGCUACAAUGGACGGUACGAAACGGUUAGCCAACCCGCGAGGGGAGGCUAAUCCGAUAAACCGUUACUCAGUUCGGUAGUUGUAGGCGUGCAACUCGCCUACAGU